Molecule: ribosomal RNA, 253 nt
Filed under: uncultured bacterium
Lineage: Bacteria
Description: partial 16S ribosomal RNA
Rfam family: Bacterial small subunit ribosomal RNA
Source: RNAcentral
UACGGGGGGGGCAAGCGUUGUUCGGAAUUACUGGGCGUAAAGGGCUCGUAGGCGGCCAACUAAGUCAGACGUGAAAUCCCCAGGCUCAACCUGGGAACUGCGUCUGAUACUGGAUGGCUUGAAUCCGGGAGAGGGAUGCAGAAUUCCAGGUGUAGCGGUGAAAUGCGUAGAUAUCCGAAAGAACACCGGUGGCGAAGGCGACUCGCUGGGCUCUUGCUGACACUGAAUCACGACAGCGUGGGGAGCAAACAGG